CUUCCAAGGCACAAGCCUGGCUCUCUGCUCUGCCACGCAGACAGACCAGUUUGGGUCAGCUGGAGUCACAGACAGAAGGGAUGUACUUCAGUGGUACAUGGAAGGUGUACAGUGGUACAAGGAAGGAAAAAUCACUGUGAUUCAGUCAUCUAAACCUACAUGCUUUAAUGGCAUUGUUAACCCCAGAGUCCUGUUAUGGGAUAGGAGCAACAGGCUGCCCCAGAUCUUCCUGGUAACAACAAAUUUCAGAAUUCACAAGCAAUUGUUGUGGCUGGACCAUGUCACAUCAAACUUUGCAGUGCAUAAAAGCAGCAUUGUAAAGCUGCAUAACUAUCAGGGCAACAAGUGAUCUCAGCAUCAGGACUGCAGAAACUGGUAACAAGAUGUUUGGAGAUCAUUUCCUUAUGAUGUUCAGAGUAACCACUGCAAGACUGAAAGAGCAGACAAUGUUUGGAAGGAAGGUUUUGCAGACUGCCACUUGUCUUGAAUGCCUUGGAAACGUGAUCCGCAGACGCUGACCUCUGACAGCUGCCAAUUAAAACACAAGGUCUAGAA
This is a long non-coding RNA of Passer domesticus (house sparrow), 555 nucleotides long. RefSeq lists it as uncharacterized. NCBI's taxonomy places the organism in Eukaryota, Metazoa, Chordata, Aves, Passeriformes, Passeridae. The record is from RefSeq and is a predicted model, not a curated record. The transcript has 3 exons.